Molecule: ribosomal RNA, 437 nt
Filed under: uncultured bacterium
Lineage: Bacteria
Description: bacterial SSU rRNA
Rfam family: Bacterial small subunit ribosomal RNA
Source: RNAcentral
GAUGAACGCUGGCGGUCUGCUUAACACAUGCAAGUCGAACGAACUCUUCGGAGUGAGUGGCGGACGGGUGAGUAACGCGUGAGAAUCUGCCUGUGGGUCGGGGACAACCACUGGAAACGGUGGCUAAUACCGGAUGAGCCGAAAGGUAAAAGAUUUAUUGCCCACAGAUGAGCUCGCGUCUGAUUAGCUAGUUGGUAAGGUAAAAGCGUACCAAGGCGACGAUCAGUAGCUGGUCUGAGAGGAUGAGCAGCCACACUGGGACUGAGACACGGCCCAGACUCCUACGGGAGGCAGCAGUGGGAAUCUUCCGCAAUGGACGAAAGUCUGACGGAGCGACACCGCGUGAAGGAUGAAGGCCUAACGGUUGUAAACUUCUUUUCUGAAGGAGCAUAAUGAGAGUACUUCAGGAAUAAGGGACGGCUAACUACGUGCCAGCG